RNAcentral lists this ribosomal RNA (627 nucleotides) under Triticum aestivum (bread wheat). RNAcentral describes it as "partial small subunit ribosomal RNA". The record is from RNAcentral. Lineage: Eukaryota; Viridiplantae; Streptophyta; Magnoliopsida; Poales; Poaceae.
AUGUUGUUCGAAUGCAAAUUGGCAAUGGAUGUGUGGAAGAUGCUCGGUCUUGAGCUUGUUCUCAAACAUGCACUGAAAGUUGAUAAGGUGGGUGAGCUUGUGUUGGCACAUCUUUUGUGCCUUCCAGAACAACAAAUCCAAGUGUUCGGCAUGCCGAAGUUCAGAGAAACGAUGGCAACAACGGCUUGGUAUUUGUGGUAUGAAAGGCAAAAAUUGACACAUGACGAAGAAACUCAAAGCGCAUGUCAAAUCAAUAUGUCAGUGAGAGGCUUAGUAGCAAAUUAUACCAUUUCUUAUAGCCCAAAGGCUCACGUCCGUUCAGAUGCUUGGUUGAAACCAAAGUAUGGUUACGUGAAAUUAAACGUUGACGCGGGAUUUGAUAGUGACACACUCGCAGCAACAUUUGGAGCAGUUAUCCGGGACCAUAGGGCGAAAUUUUUAGUGGCUACUAAUGAAAAGAUGGACCUUUGCUUCGAGUCGUUCACAGCAGAAGCAAUUGCAGUGAGGUUUGGUUUGAAUCUUGAUAAUACCGUCGGAUGCAGUAAGAUUGAAGUGAAUUCGGAUAGUGUGGAGGUGGUGAAUACGUUGAGCCAAGCUACUCUUCUUCAGUCGCUUCAUCCAUUAUAG